AAGUCGUAACAAGGUUUCCGUAGGUGAACCUGCGGAAGGAUCAUUAACUUUAUACAAUUGGGUUCGCCCGAUUUUAUAUACUAAAAAACCAAAAUCUACCAAUCCGUGAACUUUAAACACAAAAACGAAAGAGAUGAAAGGGCGUUACAAACCUGACCAGUCUCUGACAGAACCAAUUCCACACUUUUAUAUUAACCUUAUUAACAAACCAUUACCGUAACGCCAUUCGUUUUUCAGAGUGGGUCGUACUAAAACAACAGCGUGUUGCUACUCUUUUUGAGCGCAUGCACCAAUUAUUUUACAAAAUAGAGAAAUACAACUCUUAACAACGGAUAUCUUGGCUCUC
This 346-nucleotide unclassified non-coding RNA is filed under the name fungal sp. RNAcentral's name for it is "partial internal transcribed spacer region". The stretch from base 1 to 46 matches the Rfam family "Eukaryotic small subunit ribosomal RNA", at positions 1786 to 1831 of the family's 1831-position model. Lineage: Eukaryota; Fungi. The record is from RNAcentral.